This 175-nucleotide ribosomal RNA is filed under the name uncultured bacterium. RNAcentral describes it as "partial 16S ribosomal RNA". It matches the Rfam family "Bacterial small subunit ribosomal RNA", at positions 1319 to 1500 of the family's 1533-position model. The record is from RNAcentral.
CAUGAAGUUGGAUUCGCUAGUAAUCGCGCAUCAGCCAUGGCGCGGUGAAUACGUUCCCGGGCCUUGUACACACCGCCCGUCAAGCCAUGGGAGCUGGGGGUGCCUGAAGUUCGUGACCGCAAGGAUCGACCUAGGGCAAAAACCGGUGACUGGGGCUAAGUCGUAACAAGGUAAC